Molecule: ribosomal RNA, 325 nt
Filed under: uncultured eukaryote
Lineage: Eukaryota
Description: partial 18S ribosomal RNA
Rfam family: Eukaryotic small subunit ribosomal RNA
Source: RNAcentral
CCCUUAGAUGUCCUGGGCCGCACGCGCGCUACACUGAUGCAUUCAACGAGUUUUACCUUGGCCGAGAGGCCUGGGCAAUCUUUUAAACCUGCAUCGUGAUAGGGAUAGAUUAUUGCAAUUAUUAAUCUUGAACGAGGAAUUCCUAGUAAACGCAAAUCAUCAAUUUGCAUUGAUUACGUCCCUGCCCUUUGUACACACCGCCCGUCGCACCCACCGAUUGAAUGGUCCGGUGAAGCCUCGGGAUUGUGGCCAGUUCACUUUAUUGGGAGUUGGCUGUGAGAACUUGUCUAAACCUUAUCAUUUAGAGGAAGGUGAAGUCGUAACA